AAGAGCAAAAUUAUCCAGUUGCAGGAACUUAGGUGGCAGCUGAGCAGAUGUUUUGUGGAUCACCGUGAUGCCUAAAAACAGGUCUUAGGUGCCCAAGUACCUUUGUGGAUCCAGGCCUUGAAAGACACACACCAGGAGUAUCCCAUCAAUAACAGCCCAUCUCUUUUUUGUUAGCGUUUAGUUUAAGAAAUCCUCAUAAAUGGAUAAUGAAAAGCCAAUUCUGUAAUGCUGUUGCAGAUGGGCAGAGGACAGAUUAAGGCAGAAUCCUUAUGUCUAAGGGGUGCCUGAUACUAUGGUGAGUCAGUAAGAAAUCCUGAGUCAUUCACACUUUAUAUCAAGGGUGCGUUUAUGAACCGUUUAUAAAAGAUUAAUAAUUAAUGAAUAUCAUAGGCAUAUUAAAGGCAUGAAAAGUUAUUAUAGAUAGUUACAAUCUAUUGAUCUGUUGGCCUCUAACAAUUGACUAACCAUGUAUUAAAAACAUCAAUUAAUCAUUUAUUAACCCCUUAUAAACUAUUUAUAAAAUGGACCCUUAAUAUAAGGUGUUGGGGAAUUGGAAUAAAAAUAAUACUUAGAGCUAAGUAUUAUACAGCACUUUUUAUGCAUGGAUCUUAAAACACCUGACUAAGGAGAGUAAAUAGCAUCAUUCCCAUGCUACAGGUGGGGAAAACGGAGGCCCAGAGAGGUGACAUGGGAGGAAGUAUCAUGGCAGAAGAUGAGAAGUUGAGAUCUUACUGAAUCCAGAGACUGUCCAGUUUGGCCAACGUACAUGGCAGUGACUGUCACAGAAAACUUGACCCUUAAAGGAAAACAAAUGUCUACCUCAUGUUCUCUUUGAGAGAAACUGGCCAGUUAACCUGAUUGAACUCAGGCACCAUCUUACACGCCUUGGAGUUAAAAAUUCAUUGGAAGGAAGUAUCACUUGUUUGACACCUAUACUUGUGGUGUGGAAGCAUAAAGGGACUGAUUCUCUACACCACUAUCCUAGUUUUACACUGCUACAGAUGCACUGAUUUAUCUGGAAAUAAC
This is a long non-coding RNA of Dermochelys coriacea (leatherback sea turtle), 1026 nucleotides long. RefSeq lists it as uncharacterized. The record is from RefSeq and is a predicted model, not a curated record. NCBI's taxonomy places the organism in Eukaryota, Metazoa, Chordata, Testudines, Dermochelyidae. The transcript has 3 exons.